GAUCAUGGCUUAGGACGAACGCUGGCGGCGCGCCUAACACAUGCAAGUCGAACGGAGCUUAGAGAGCUUGCUUUUUAAGCUUAGUGGCGAACGGGUGAGUAACGCGUGAGUAACCUGCCUUAGAGUGGGGGACAACAGUUGGAAACGACUGCUAAUACCGCAUAAGCCCACGGUACCGCAUGGUACUGAGGGAAAAGGAUUUAUUCGCUUUAGGAUGGACUCGCGUCCAAUUAGCUAGUUGGUGAGGUAACGG
Molecule: ribosomal RNA, 253 nt
Filed under: uncultured bacterium
Lineage: Bacteria
Description: partial 16S ribosomal RNA
Rfam family: Bacterial small subunit ribosomal RNA
Source: RNAcentral